Molecule: long non-coding RNA, 2227 nt
Filed under: Lathyrus oleraceus (garden pea)
Lineage: Eukaryota; Viridiplantae; Streptophyta; Magnoliopsida; Fabales; Fabaceae
Description: Pisum sativum (pea) long non-coding RNA (PSAT_LNC020134)
Source: RNAcentral
UUAAAUCCUAAUCACACUAAUCUAAUUUUUUAAAUCUAAUAAACCUAAUUAAGUAAUCAAGACUUAAAACGUAAUUACUAAUUAAGUCCCAAACUCGCGGUCACAUGAGGAUCCAAGCCCCAAACCCGCUGUCACAUGAGGAUCCGAGUUUCCUCCAUACAAGACCGAUACAUAGUUGAAGCGGUCAUGAACGAAGUCAGAGAGAGCAUUUGCAUUACGCUGCUCUCUAUUUCAGCGUCUCCAUCAUCAUCAACGAUAUCACGUCCUACUUCCAAUCGAACAAGAGGAGCAUCGAUCUCAUCGACGGCGCAUUCAUUCUUACAGCUUCAUGUUUGAAGGUAUGAGGUUACAGAGAUGUGAAAACUAGAAGUGUUCCAUGAGGCUCAAAAGCUUCGACGACGCCGUUUGCUUCGGUGUCAGUCGUACACAAACAAAGUAAGAAGAAAAACGUGAAAGAGGAGUCGAAAACUCACCAGGUAUUGUUCUGCAUCUCUUCUUUCCCUCUGAACCUCGAACCUCCUUCUUCUUUGUUAUGGAUGGAAGUUGCAGAAACUGAUUGUUGCAAAAGAUUGCAGAAGACGAUUGUUAUAGAAGAUUGCAAAGGAUGCUUGCAGAAUAAUUGCAGAAGAUCGCAGAAGAUUGUAGAAGCUCCUUAUUGCAGAAGAUGAUUGCAGAAGCUUGUAGAAGAUGAUUGCAUAAGCUGAUUGCAGAAGAAUCUUGCAGAAGAUUGCAGAAGCUCCUUGUUGCAGAAGAUGAUUGCAGAAGAAUCUUGCAGAAGAUUGCAGAAGCUCCUUGUUGCAGAAGAUGAUUGCAGAAGGUUGCAGAAGAUGAUUUCAGAAGAUCCUUGUAGAAGAUGAUUGCAGAAUGAUUGCAGAAGCUUACAGAAGAUCCUUGCAGAAGAUGAUUGCGGAAUGAUUGCAGAAGAAUGCUUGCGAAAUGGGGCUACAACUGGUUAUAUAGAGGAUCAAUCCAACUGACUUGGGCAAGCUCUUGGGCAACCAGGUCAGUUAUUUUGUUGAAAACUAAUGGGCAAAGGAAAAAUCUGUUAGAGAAUAUGUUGUCACUUAGUUAGUUACCAAAGUUAGUUAAUAGUUUUUAUUAUUUUUUUGAUUGGCUGUUAAACUAUGAGUGAAGUUAGGAAAAAGUUGUUAAAAUGCAGUUAGUUGUAACUUCUGUUAGAUGACUGUUGGAUUGUUAAUUCGGUUAUAUGCUUGGACAAUUUAAAUUCUAGGGAAUUGAUUCAAUUGAAAAUAAAGUUUUGUCAUAUACAUUACUUGCUAGAUGCAUGAGUCUACUAAGUUGAUUUUAUUCAAAUGGAAACUAGCUUAAUUUGGUCCAGUCGAAUGAAAAUGCUAGCAAUCUUGUGAUGCAAAUUGGUUUGAGUCAUGCCUUAUGAGAACCUACUGUUAACUGGUUAUGCAUUGCUGCCAAACUAAUUUGAAUGUUAAAUAGGAUGGUUAGGAUUAGCUAUCAUGCUUAAAUGGAAAUGAGGUUAAAAUGAGUUUGGAUGAGUGUGAACUUAAACUGUUGGCAUUUUAUUGUAUUGAAUUAUGAAGUUAUUGAAUCAGUUAGGAAAUGAAUGUGAUUGAAUAAAUUUGGUUAAGUUGUUGCUGAUUCAGUUUAUGAAGUUUUUUAUGAAAUUGAAAUGCAGGUUGAAAAAUUAUGUUGUUUCUUGAACUGAGUUGCUCAUUUGGUUGUUGUAAUGCAGGGCUGUUUAAACGAGCUUGAAUUUACUGCAGGGUUUUUGAUACCAAGGUCAUAUUCAUGGACUUAAGACUUUGUUGUUGAAUGGAUAGUGGAUGAAAAAGUUAGGGAUGAGUCAACUACUGCAAUGCAUAAUGAGAUGCGAGUGAAGCAGGUUGCCAAAGAACAUAUUUGGUUGCUUGUUAUGUUCAUGAUCUGACCUGCAGGAUGAUUGAAGUUGAGGCAAGGUGAAUGCUUGGCUUGGUGUAAUGGUUGCUACCAACUUCAUGUGGUCUGCAGAAUGACUCCAAUAGAGAUGGCAAAUGGAUGGUGGACCUUGAAGAUGGAAAUUGAUACUUGUAAUCAAAUUAGAUCUUGUGUAUUUAGAACUUGUACAAGUUUUUUUUAUUGAAGUGUAAUAGCUAUUAACAACUAUGUAUACAACAUGAUCUUUGAUAACAUUUCACUUGUUUUCUAUCAACUCUCCAUAUUCAUUCCAUGUUAUCUAUGUAUAUGUCUAUGUAGGACUUCAUGUAUGAUAAAU